RNAcentral lists this ribosomal RNA (406 nucleotides) under uncultured bacterium. RNAcentral describes it as "partial 16S ribosomal RNA". It matches the Rfam family "Bacterial small subunit ribosomal RNA", at positions 28 to 526 of the family's 1533-position model. The record is from RNAcentral.
GAUGAACGCUGGCGGCGUGCCUAACACAUGCAAGUCGAACGAGGGGCGGACGGGUGAGUAAUGUCUGGGAACCUGCCUGAUGGAGGGGGAUAACUACUGGAAACGGUAGCUAAUACCGCAUACCAUCGGAUGUGCCCAGAUGGGAUGAGCUAGUAGGUGGGGUAAAGGCUCACCUGGGCGACGAUCCCUAGCUGGUCUGAGAGGAUGACCAGCCACACUGGAACUGAGACACGGUCCAGACUCCUACGGGAGGCAGCAGUGGGGAAUAUUGCACAAUGGGCGCAAGCCUGAUGCAGCCAUGCCGCGUGUGUGAAGAAGGCCUUCGGGUUGUAAAGCACUUUCAGCGGGGAGGCGUUACUCGCAGAAGAAGCACCGGCUAACUCCGUGCCAGCAGCCGCGGUAAUUC